GCUGCUUCCGUUGAGUGAACCAGUGGAAUGCAGGCCGGUUCCGAUUGCGGCACCGGAGCAUUUGGUGACACUGCUCUCUUCGCUGGAUGCCUUCAACCGGAUUCGAUUCCCGUGUCCUGGACAGUGCUGACAGGUCCUGCGGAGGAGGAGCAACAGAACAACCCGAUCAACUCAAGCUGUUCCAACAGUUAGUAGUGUGGGGGUUGUA
Molecule: long non-coding RNA, 208 nt
Organism: Pseudophryne corroboree (corroboree frog)
Lineage: Eukaryota; Metazoa; Chordata; Amphibia; Anura; Myobatrachidae
Exons: 3
Source: RefSeq, a predicted model, not a curated record